RNAcentral lists this long non-coding RNA (1289 nucleotides) under Brassica napus (rape). RNAcentral describes it as "long non-coding RNA (BNAP_LNC024211)". Lineage: Eukaryota; Viridiplantae; Streptophyta; Magnoliopsida; Brassicales; Brassicaceae. The record is from RNAcentral.
AGCCUAGAAAAUGUCAUUAAUGGAUGGAAAAUAAGACCACACGGUUUAGAAGUCUUGAGACAAAAGACUUUUAGUACCCACGGCUUUCAAAAUUCUGUUUUUGAUCUAUGGAUGGAUGGAGUAACGACCUACGGUUUAAGAAAGUCUUAAGACAAAGGCUACAAAUUGAAAGCAGAUUCCUUACUUCACUACUCAUGGCUUACAAGAAAAGAAUUGUUGGAUGGAAAUAUAUUGCAAUAGGGCAGGCAGUUAUUAGACUUGUGUCCAUCCGUAGAAGAAACAAGGUGGGCAUACUACGUAACUAAAGACUAAUUAUUUUUAUUUCCUCAGGUAUGUACUUCAGAAGGCGUUCAUAUUGUUUGGGAGAUUCUGAAGAGAUUUGAAGUGUAGAAGACUUCUGUGACAGGUAUCUUCUUUUCAAACAUCUUUGUAACUAGUUUAGUCUCAUAUAGUUUACAACUUGCUUGACUCUAGAAACUAUAUGGGUUAUUACUAAACCCCUUUGUUGAACAUUCUGAAAUUGGGCAAAUGACAUUCAUGUAGUUGUAUAACUAAUUUUGGCUGUCAUAUGAGCUUCCUUACAUUUCGCAAUCUGCAUUCAUUUGGUUGUUGUAUGCACUUUGCAUCAUGUGGUUUACACUUCUCCAUUCUACAUUUUACAACACAUUCUGCAUUUUGCACCAUUUUCUUGCAAUUUUACUUCAGCACUGAGCGUCCUACAUUUUGCAUUAUGCAUCAUUUCCUUACACUUACAGGUUCUUCAUUUUACUAAACAUUCUGCAGCAUGCAUCUUCAUUUGGUUGUUGUAUGCACUUUGCAUCAUGUGUUUACACUUACUGCAUUCUACAUUUUACAAUACAUUAUGGCAUUUUGCAUCAUUUUCUUGCAAUUUUACAAUAUACUUCAGCAUUGAGCGUCCUACAUUAUGCAUCAUUUUACACUUAUGGGUUCUUCAUUUUACAAUAUGUUCUGAAGUAUGCAUCUUCCUUGCAAUUUUGUAGUUAAAUUUGGAUGUCUGAGCACUUGCGACAUUCCGCAACGACAUAUUACAUUACGUUCUGAAGUAUACAUCUUCCUUGGAGUUUUGUAGUUAAAUCUAUUGACCGUUUCGGAAAUUGUUUUGGUAUCGUACUAAAAUAUAUGUCUUUGGUCUAUUAUACAUAGUUGAUGGGCCGUGGAAAUCUAUUGAAUCAUGGUGUAUUCAUUUAAAAUGUGCAAUAGAUGUUUUCGCGGUUUCUCUUUGAUACUUUUGUUUUAAUAAUAUUUUUAUGAUUGAUGUCAAAAAAAAC